RNAcentral lists this ribosomal RNA (398 nucleotides) under uncultured bacterium. RNAcentral's name for it is "bacterial SSU rRNA". It matches the Rfam family "Bacterial small subunit ribosomal RNA", at positions 357 to 772 of the family's 1533-position model. The record is from RNAcentral.
AGGAAUUUUCCGCAAUGGGCGCAAGCCUGAUCCAGCCAUGCCGCGUGAGUGAUGACGGCCUUAGGGUUGUAAAGCUCUUUCGCACGCGACGAUAAUGACGGUAGCGUGAGAAGAAGCCCCGGCUAACUUCGUGCCAGCAGCCGCGGUAAUACGAAGGGGGCUAGCGUUGUUCGGAAUCACUGGGCGUAAAGGGUGCGUAGGCGGAUUCUUAAGUCAGGGGUGAAAUCCCGAGACUCAACCUUGGAACUGCCUUUGAUACUGGGGAUCUUGAGUCCGGAAGAGGUGAGCGGAACUGCGAGUGUAGAGGUGAAAUUCGUAGAUAUUCGCAAGAACACCGGUGGCGAGGGCGGCUCACUGGUCCGGAACUGACGCUGAGGCACGACAGCGUGGGGAGCAAA